UAUGGUAAUUGGGGGAAAGCAGCCGCGGUAAUACGGAAGGUCCGGGCGUUAUCCGGAUUUAUUGGGUUUAAAGGGAGCGUAGGCCGGAGAUUAAGCGUGUUGUGAAAUGUAGAUGCUCAACAUCUGAACUGCAGCGCGAACUGGUUUCCUUGAGUACGCACAAAGUGGGCGGAAUUCGUGGUGUAGCGGUGAAAUGCUUAGAUAUCACGAAGAACUCCGAUUGCGAAGGCAGCUCACUGGAGCGCAACUGACGCUGAAGCUCGAAAGUGCGGGUAUCGAACAGG
RNAcentral lists this ribosomal RNA (284 nucleotides) under Segatella copri DSM 18205. RNAcentral describes it as "Prevotella copri DSM 18205 partial 16S ribosomal RNA". It matches the Rfam family "Bacterial small subunit ribosomal RNA", at positions 493 to 776 of the family's 1533-position model. The record is from RNAcentral. Lineage: Bacteria; Pseudomonadati; Bacteroidota; Bacteroidia; Bacteroidales; Prevotellaceae.